GGAGAGGUGCAGGAGUGGCUUAUCUGGCUGGUCUUGAAAACCAUGCGUUCGCAAGGACACGAGGGUUCGAAUCCCUCCCUCUCCGCCA
This 88-nucleotide transfer RNA is filed under the name Gammaproteobacteria bacterium. RNAcentral describes it as "tRNA-Ser". It matches the Rfam family "tRNA". From Rfam's summary of the family: Transfer RNA (tRNA) molecules are approximately 80 nucleotides in length. Their secondary structure includes four short double-helical elements and three loops (D, anti-codon, and T loops). Lineage: Bacteria; Pseudomonadati; Pseudomonadota; Gammaproteobacteria. The record is from RNAcentral. RNAcentral also lists the same sequence under 2 other names.